CAGCAGCCGCGGUAAUGCGAAGGGUGCAAGCGUUAAUCGGAAUUACUGGGCGUAAAGCGCACGUAGGCGGAUCGAUCAGUCAGGGGUGAAAUCCCAGAGCUCAACUCUGGAACUGCCUUUGAUACUGUCGAUCUGGAGUAUGGAAGAGGUGAGUGGAAUUCCGAGUGUAGAGGUGAAAUUCGUAGAUAUUCGGAGGAACACCAGUGGCGAAGGCGGCUCACUGGUCCAUUACUGACGCUGAGGUGCGAAAGCGUGGGGAGCAAACAGGAUUAGAUACCCCCGUAGUCCCUGUCUCUUAUAC
RNAcentral lists this ribosomal RNA (301 nucleotides) under uncultured bacterium. RNAcentral describes it as "partial 16S ribosomal RNA". It matches the Rfam family "Bacterial small subunit ribosomal RNA", at positions 509 to 807 of the family's 1533-position model. The record is from RNAcentral.